GGCUCUUGAGGACUCUGCUGAACGGACCCUCGGGAUCACCCACCCCCUGCUGUGGCACACGCAGGUUAUUUCCAGCCUUCUGCAAAGCCGAGCAGUGCUGUGAGGACAUCCCUUUGCACGGCGGUGCGUGGAGAGUAAAUCCUCCAAGGGCUCUGCGAGGUCCCACAGCUGAGACCAGAUGAGGAAGAUAAGGCCAACGAGGACAGCACGCUCGGGAGGUGAACUCACAGGCCCACAAGGCCCUGCAGCUGGCAGGGGGCCAAGGUUCUCUGACCAGGCAUGAAGCCCGAAGAACGAGCCAGCCAAGGGCUUGGCAUGAAGGCACUUUGGGAGGCCUACCUGUCAGCCGUACCCCAGGCUUACCCCUACCAUCCUCUGCCCAAAAGCCAAGCAGUCCUCUUCGAUCCUGACUUUUCCAACCCACGGCAAGUCCCGUCCACCUUACCUCCAGCCACUUGGCCGCCGCCACCCACGCCCAAGCUGCUCGCCUCUCGCUUGGACAGCCACCCUGCCUCGCUGGGGUCACCUCCUGACCCCUCAGCCUUGGCCUCUAAAAUCCGUUCUCCACUCAUCGGCACGACGGUGCCGCACCAUCUUUCUGAGGCCCCACCCACACCCCACCCGCCUUCUUGGCCUCCACCAGAUUCUGUCAGCUAUUCAAGCUUUUUAAAGAAACUGAGCACAGCAGCUUUGGCAUCAGGCUAUGAAGAGAUGAACUGA
RNAcentral lists this long non-coding RNA (720 nucleotides) under Felis catus (domestic cat). RNAcentral's name for it is "lncRNA (ENSFCAG00000052890.1)". The record is from RNAcentral. Lineage: Eukaryota; Metazoa; Chordata; Mammalia; Carnivora; Felidae.